Mus caroli (Ryukyu mouse) is the source of this 179-nucleotide small nuclear RNA. RefSeq annotates it as U11 spliceosomal RNA. The record is from RefSeq and is a predicted model, not a curated record. Lineage: Eukaryota; Metazoa; Chordata; Mammalia; Rodentia; Muridae.
AAAAAGGGCUUCUGUCGUAGUGGCACACACAGGGCAACUCGAUUGCUCUGUGUGCGGAAUCGACAUCUAGAGAUUUCGGAAGCAUAAUUUCUUGGUAUUUGGGAAGCUGGUAGAACGGAAAAAAAAAGAUUGAGGGGGACUUUUAGCAAUUGAGGAGUUGAGUAUCUGUCGUCUUUCUA